GAUGAACGCUGGCGGCGUGCCUAAGACAUGCAAGUCGAGUGGCCACUUUACUGUGGCCACGGCGAACGGGUGAGUAAUACCUAGGAACUUUCUUUAAGUGAGGCAUAACCCAUGUAAUGUGGGAUAAUACCUCAUGUGAUCGCAAGAUCAAAGCCACGCAAGUGGCGCUUAAAGUGAGGCCUGGGCACCAUCAGCUAGUUGGUAGGGUAAUGGCCUACCAAGGCUAUGACGGUUAGGGGCCCCCGAGAGGGGGAACCCCCACACUGGGACUGCGGCACGGCCCAGACUCCUACGGGAGGCAGCAGUUUGGAAUAUUGGACAAUGGGCGAAAGCCUGAUCCAGCGACGCCGCGUGGACGAUGAAGGCC
Molecule: ribosomal RNA, 367 nt
Filed under: uncultured bacterium
Lineage: Bacteria
Description: bacterial SSU rRNA
Rfam family: Bacterial small subunit ribosomal RNA
Source: RNAcentral